ACCCGCUGAAUUUAAGCAUAUAAGUAGGCAGUGGGUAAUUAACUAAGAAGGGUGCCCUCAGUAAUGGCGAAUGCACAGGGAUUGGCUCAACGUGGAAGUUGGGGCAACUGGCCCUGAGUUGUAGUUUUAAGACAUGCAACCAAUGGAGGUGCAGAUGCAAGCCUUUGGAGCAUGAGUAUUGGGAAGGGUGAGAAUCCUGUUUAUCAUAUGUGGAUCCUUUCCAUAUGUGGUGUAUUGUCCAUGAGUUAUACUCCCUGGGGUUGGUGUGUGAAGUGGGUGGUAAAGUUCAUCUGAAGACGAACAUGGAUCCAGGGCCAACAGUGAACAAGUACCAUGAGGGAAAGGUGAAACAGGACUUUGAAUAGAGUGAUAAUAAUGCUUGAACAUGCUGUACAUGAAAUGAGGGGAUAUCUGUGCUUCUUGGGAAGAUUGCUGCACGCAGUUCUGCCUGCCUGCUGCAGUCUAAGCAAGUGUGGCUGUGGGUACUAAACAGUGCAGAGGGUGUGCAGAGCAUCUUGCCUUGUGUGUCGGAGUCAGCGCAUUGCGUCAAGGAAUUAGUGGGUGUUGGGUAGACUGUUGCUUGGUGGAUGAAUGCAACUGUCCAUUCAUGUGCAAGUGCUGAGUGGUGACUGCGUGGUGCCAUUUAUCCUGUCUUGAAACACAGAUCGAGGAGUCUAACGAAUGUGCAAAUGCACAGGUGACAGUCACCUAGUUGUGCAAUGAGCAUGCUGGUUGGGAUAUCUGCGCCAGCCACUGACAUUUCGUGUGUGGAAGGCCUGAGUGUGAGCAGCUGUGUUAGGACCCGAAAGAUGGUGAACUAUGCCUGUGAAGAGGUAAGUUCAGGGGAAACUCUGAUGGAGGCCUGCAGUGAUACUGACGUGCAAAUCGUUCGUCGUACAUCGG
RNAcentral lists this ribosomal RNA (903 nucleotides) under Protoperidinium leonis. Its description in RNAcentral is "LSU rRNA". It matches the Rfam family "Eukaryotic large subunit ribosomal RNA", at positions 23 to 915 of the family's 3401-position model. The record is from RNAcentral. Lineage: Eukaryota; Dinophyceae; Peridiniales; Protoperidiniaceae.